GGAGAGGUGGCCGAGUGGCUGAAGGCACUCGCCUGCUAAGCGAGUAGGGGGCUGAUUGCUCUCUCGAGGGUUCGAAUCCCUCCCUCUCCG
RNAcentral lists this transfer RNA (90 nucleotides) under Solirubrobacterales bacterium. Its description in RNAcentral is "tRNA-Ser". It matches the Rfam family "tRNA". From Rfam's summary of the family: Transfer RNA (tRNA) molecules are approximately 80 nucleotides in length. Their secondary structure includes four short double-helical elements and three loops (D, anti-codon, and T loops). The record is from RNAcentral. RNAcentral also lists the same sequence under 2 other names. Lineage: Bacteria; Bacillati; Actinomycetota; Thermoleophilia; Solirubrobacterales.